UUUCCCUCCACUCCAUGGCCCCCUGGUCUUCAGUUCACAUCUCCUUCCCCUGGCCUGUGUUCUACCGGCUCCUCAAGGAAGAUGGCCCCACCAGCAGAACUUAUGGCUGCAAGCUGGACUCUGCCUACCCAGGAAUGGAGGUGGCUGUCUGCGGAUGAUGAUCCCAGGAGCCUCUUCCAGGAAGCCUUCCAGGACUGACAGUACUUUGGAGUAGAUUUGCCCUAUUUGGACCUUUUCUUGUAGCCUGACUUCCCCCAAAGCCACAGCUCCCAGGGCAGGACCCCAUUCCACCCCCUCCUCCCCAACCCCGCCACCACCACACUCCCUUCAUACUCCAGAGUGGAGCCAUGUCCCCUGUCCCCCAACUCUCCAGAGAAGGCCUGAGUCUCGCCCCUUGGACUGGGAGAAGGUGAGCAUCCCUCUGGUUUCCCCAUGGAGAAAACUCUGUGGCAGCCUGCGUCUCAUCAGAUUCAGAAGAGGCUUGUGCCGGCUGCAGCACAGCAUGCUUGUGAUCUAACAACAUCCAACACAACCGGUUAGAUGUGCAGAGGAACUUCCUGGGCCAGGAUGGGCAAAGAAGGGAAGCCACACAGAGCCUCAUGGAUGGAGGGGAAGAGAAAGGCCAGCAUUACAAAGUGGGCUGCCAGAGGCAGGAGUGGGAACAGGGUUGUGGGGAUCGGCU
Molecule: long non-coding RNA, 682 nt
Organism: Bubalus bubalis (water buffalo)
Lineage: Eukaryota; Metazoa; Chordata; Mammalia; Artiodactyla; Bovidae
Exons: 3
Source: RefSeq, a predicted model, not a curated record